AUCUCCCAGAAAGCCUUGAUCCUUGGGCACGUCCACCAAAGAUUUUGAUAAAUUGGAAAACAAGAACAAGGAUGAACAUGACAAAACCCCCGGAGAGGAGAAGCCAUGCAAAAAUAUGGAAUGUGGAGAGAGCUGCAGUCAGAGCUCCCAUUCUACAUCCCAUCAAAGAAA
Podarcis muralis (Common wall lizard) is the source of this 171-nucleotide non-coding RNA. The record is from RefSeq and is a predicted model, not a curated record. NCBI's taxonomy places the organism in Eukaryota, Metazoa, Chordata, Lepidosauria, Squamata, Lacertidae.